UAGGGAAUAUUGGGCAAUGGGCGCAAGCCUGACCCAGCAACGCCGCGUGAGGGAAGAAGGUUUUCGGAUUGUAAACCUCUGUCCUAUGUGACGAAGGAAGUGACGGUAGCAUAGGAGGAAGCCCCGGCUAACUACGUGCCAGCAGCCGCGGUAAUACGUAGGGGGCGAGCGUUGUCCGGAAUUACUGGGCGUAAAGGGUGCGUAGGCGGUUUGGUAAGUUGGAUGUGAAAUACCCGGGCUUAACUUGGGG
RNAcentral lists this ribosomal RNA (250 nucleotides) under uncultured bacterium. Its description in RNAcentral is "partial 16S ribosomal RNA". It matches the Rfam family "Bacterial small subunit ribosomal RNA", at positions 355 to 619 of the family's 1533-position model. The record is from RNAcentral.